UGGGGAGUACGGUCGCGAGAUUAAAACUCAAAUGAAUUGACGGGGGCCCGCACAAGCGGUGGAUUAUGUGGAUUAAUUCGAUGCAACGCGAAAAACCUUACCUGGCCUUGACAUGUACCGAAUUUGGGAGAGAUUCCUUAGUGCUCGAAAGAGAACGGUAACACAGGUGCUGCAUGGCUGUCGUCAGCUCGUGUCGUGAGAUGUUGGGUUAAGUCCCGCAACGAGCGCAACCCUUGCCAUUAAUUGCCAUCAUUUAGUUGGGCACUUUAAUGGGACUGCCGGUGACAAACCGGAGGAAGGUGGGGAUGACGUCAAGUCCUCAUGGCCCUUAUGGCCAGGGCUUCACACGUAAUACAAUGGUCGGUACAGAGGGUUGCCAACCCGCGAGGGGGAGCCAAUCCCAGAAAGCCGAUCGUAGUCCGGAUUGUAGUCUGCAACUCGACUACAUGAAGUCGGAAUCGCUAGUAAUCGCGGAUCAGCAUGUCGCGGUGAAUACGUUCCCGGGCCUUGUACACACCGCCCGUCACACCAUGGGAGUGGGUUUUACCAGAAGUAGGUAGUCUAACCGUAAGGAGGACGCUUACCACGGUAGUAUUCAUGACUGGGGUGAAGUCGUAACAAGGUAACC
This 628-nucleotide ribosomal RNA is filed under the name uncultured Methylophilus sp. RNAcentral describes it as "bacterial SSU rRNA". It matches the Rfam family "Bacterial small subunit ribosomal RNA", at positions 874 to 1501 of the family's 1533-position model. The record is from RNAcentral. Lineage: Bacteria; Pseudomonadati; Pseudomonadota; Betaproteobacteria; Nitrosomonadales; Methylophilaceae.